This 247-nucleotide unclassified non-coding RNA is filed under the name Hevea brasiliensis (rubber tree). Lineage: Eukaryota; Viridiplantae; Streptophyta; Magnoliopsida; Malpighiales; Euphorbiaceae. The record is from RNAcentral.
CAUUCACACCAAUGAAAGCAUCUGAUACAAAUGAAUCAAGUGUAAGGAUUUUGACAAGUGUAUUGUCCUCGUUUGAUAAAAUAUAUUUCAUCUUCAUGGUAAAUCAGGAGCGUCAAUGACUUGAUCGCAAAUGCUUGCAAAACUGGUUUAAAUCAGACAAACAAACUUUGACAGGAGAAUAACCAAAGCAUGCAGGAGAAGAAAGCAUUUGACGUACGAGAAAAAAAUAGGCAAGCAUGGACUAACC